This 148-nucleotide ribosomal RNA is filed under the name Mnais pruinosa. RNAcentral's name for it is "5.8S ribosomal RNA". It matches the Rfam family "5.8S ribosomal RNA". Rfam says of the family: 5.8S ribosomal RNA (5.8S rRNA) is a component of the large subunit of the eukaryotic ribosome. It is transcribed by RNA polymerase I as part of the 45S precursor that also contains 18S and 28S rRNA. Lineage: Eukaryota; Metazoa; Arthropoda; Insecta; Odonata; Calopterygidae. RNAcentral also lists the same sequence under 53 other names. The record is from RNAcentral.
CGGUGGAUCACUCGGCUCGUGGAUCGAUGAAGGACGCAGCAAACUGCGCGUCGAAUUGUGAACUGCAGGACACAUGAACAUCGACGCUUCGAACGCACAUUGCAGCCCACGGAUUCUGUUCCCGGGCUACGCCUGGCUGAGGGCCGGC